GUUGACAAUGUAUCGAUCGGCGGCAAAGAGGUUACUACCGGCGUUUUACCGGCGACGCCAGGAUGCAGUAUCAUGCAUUCGAACCCUAGCAGCAGACUACCCCACUCGAUUCAUGACUUCAGCUGCCACCGGAAAUAUUCCUGAUCAGAACCCUAUUCCGGUUAACCCUAUUCUUCCUAGCUCUAAUCCGACCGACUCUACCGCAUCAUCAUCUUGGAAGGAAGAAGAAAGGACACGUUUUCAGGAUACUGAUGCAAAAUCUAGCUCGAGAACAAAGCGGCCUAAAGCGCAUUACAAGGACGAAGAGGCCCUUGUACUCAGU
Molecule: unclassified non-coding RNA, 322 nt
Filed under: Hevea brasiliensis (rubber tree)
Lineage: Eukaryota; Viridiplantae; Streptophyta; Magnoliopsida; Malpighiales; Euphorbiaceae
Source: RNAcentral